This 340-nucleotide unclassified non-coding RNA is filed under the name soil metagenome. RNAcentral describes it as "partial contains 5.8S ribosomal RNA, internal transcribed spacer 2, and large subunit ribosomal RNA". The stretch from base 1 to 120 matches the Rfam family "5.8S ribosomal RNA", at positions 35 to 154 of the family's 154-position model. The record is from RNAcentral.
GAUGAAGAACGCAGCGCAAUGCGAUAAGUAGUGUGAAUUGCAGAAUUUAGUGAAUCAUCGAAUCUUUGAACGCACAUUGCGCCCUUUGGUAUUCCUUAGGGCAUGCCUGUUCGAGCGUCAUCUACACCCUCAAGCACAGCUUGGUGAUGGGCGCCUGUCCCGCCCCCCACGGGGGCGCGGACUCGCCUCAAAUGCAUUGGCGGCCGGCGACCUGGCUUCGAGCGCAGCAGAAACGCGUACUCGGGGACCGGGCGCCCGCUCCCAGAAGCCAACCCACCCAGUUUGACCUCGGAUCAGGUAGGGAUACCCGCUGAACUUAAGCAUAUCAAUAAGCGGAGGA